UGUAUGAAUGGACACACGAGAGCCAAGCUGUCUCUUACUAAUUUCUAAAAACUAACCUUCAGGCGAAAAGGCCUGAAUCGCUUUAUAAGACAAGAAGACCCUGUCAAGCUUCACUAGAACCUUUUACCACCGAUAAUUUAUAUUAUUCACAAUUUACCUUAUCCUAGUUUAGUUGGGGCGACUGAGGACCAAAACUAACGUCCUCCCUAAUAUUCGGGGAAUAACCCUUCAAUGACCCCCUAAGGGACCAUGAGACCAGCUACUGCAGGGAUAACAGGCUAAUUUUUCCUAAGAGCCCAAAUCGAAGGAAAAGUUUGGCACCUCGAUGUUGGCUUAAGACAUCCAUAAAGUGCAGCAGCUUUAUAUGGUAGGUUUGUUCACCCUUUAAAGUCUUACGU
This 398-nucleotide ribosomal RNA is filed under the name Orbiniella sp. 1 MG-2023b. RNAcentral describes it as "partial large subunit ribosomal RNA". It matches the Rfam family "Bacterial large subunit ribosomal RNA", at positions 1989 to 2601 of the family's 2925-position model. The record is from RNAcentral. Lineage: Eukaryota; Metazoa; Annelida; Polychaeta; Orbiniidae.